UACGAAGGGGGGCUAGCGUUGCUCGGAAUGACUGGGCGUAAAGGGCGCGUAGGCGGUUCACGCAGUCAGAUGUGAAAUUCCUGGGCUCAACCUGGGGGCUGCAUUUGAUACGCGUGGACUGGAGUGGGGAAGAGGGUCGUGGAAUUCCCAGUGUAGAGGUGAAAUUCGUAGAUAUUGGGAAGAACACCGGUGGCGAAGGCGGCGACCUG
RNAcentral lists this ribosomal RNA (209 nucleotides) under uncultured bacterium. RNAcentral describes it as "partial 16S ribosomal RNA". It matches the Rfam family "Bacterial small subunit ribosomal RNA", at positions 524 to 731 of the family's 1533-position model. The record is from RNAcentral.